UUUGGGGGAAUGAAAAGCUUCGGCUGACUAUGUUAGUAUGCAUUAAUACAAAAAAAAUUAAUGUUUAAAAUGUUAAAAAAAAAAGUUUUUAAUAUUGCUAACGGUUUAGUGACUUUGUCACCUAAAGUUCUAGAUAGAAUACUGAUUAUGACAAUUUACUAUCUAUGUGUCUUGACCAAAUUACGUGCCAGCAGUCGCGGUAAUACGUAGAAGACUAGUGUUAUUCAUCUUUAUUAGGUUUAAAGGGUACCUAGACGGUUUAAUUAGUCCAAAGUAGGAUACGGUUAGACUAGAGUUAUAUUUAAGAAGGUGAGUAUUUGUGGAGUAGAGUUGAAAUUCUGUGAUACCACGAGGACUGGUAAGGGCGAAAGCAACCUUCUAUCUAAUAACUGACGUUGAGGGACGAAGGCUCGGGUCGCAAAGAGGAUUAGAUACCCUAGUAGUCCAAGCAGACAAUGAUGAAUGCCAUAGAUUAGAUAAUAUUUAGUUUAUAAACGAAAGUGCAAGCAUUCCACCUCAAGAGUAAUGUGGCAACACAGGAACUGAAAUCAUUAGACC
RNAcentral lists this ribosomal RNA (558 nucleotides) under Neofabraea sp. CBS 355.72. RNAcentral describes it as "partial small subunit ribosomal RNA". The stretch from base 118 to 558 matches the Rfam family "Bacterial small subunit ribosomal RNA", at positions 1 to 915 of the family's 1533-position model. The record is from RNAcentral. RNAcentral also lists the same sequence under 1 other name. Lineage: Eukaryota; Fungi; Ascomycota; Leotiomycetes; Helotiales; Dermateaceae.